UUUUUCUUCUUCCACGUGUCUCAUUUGGGCGACUGGAGGUGUUGCUUGAAUAUGACCCCUUGAAACUGGAUCUGCCCACAUUGUUAUGCUUUUACUCAAUAAUGCAUUCAUGCUUGUGACUCAGUGAUGCGAUUGUCCUCAUGCUGUAAUACUUAAAUUAUUCCAUACCAUUCUCCUGGGACGGCAGAGAUUUUGUUUUCUGAGCUCAUGCACACUGUCUGUCCUUUUUUAAAAUUCUCCUCCAAUAGCUGCUGUCUCCUCUCACCCAGCGUAGCCGUCCUUUCAAACAGGAAGCUCCAGGUCAGUUUCCCGUGCCAAGUUUUACAGCAGCCAUGUUGUCUAUUCUGCUCAUCUAUUUAAAAAAAUUUGAAUAUCAACCAUAUGCUUUCACUGGUGCAUUGUAAACUUUUGUAUGAAGCAAUCUGGCUGAAUGAGACGGGUCCCCAGAGCAGGGAUGUGCUCAGCUGCAGUGUGCAGUGCACCACACAGGCAUCGGCCUGGCUCUGAGGCUCUCUGUUUCUCUGCUGACACUGGGAAAGGCUCGGUGGAGGGGGAGGAGCUCAUCCUUUGGGAUGGCUGUGAUUCUGAGCUGUGGAUGCCACCGCUUUACCCCGGGCCUGUCUGCAGUACUUCCUUGUGGAGCUUCUCCUGGGCCUGGUGGCAGUCGGCUGCAGAAGGUGCAUCUGUGAGAAGGAUUGGGAAGGAACAGCUUUUUAGGACCACACAGAGUUUGGUUUGAUUGACAGUCCCUUUAUCGGCUGACUGAAGGCCUUGCCUCCUCAUAAUGGUCCAAUUAAGAGAUGAUCUUCAGGUGGCUUCGAAAUGUGUAGCUGAUGGUGAAGCAGCUGCGGAUUAAGGAUGGAGAUAAGGAGGACGUUAAAGAGUCAUCGGGCAGUGUGGUGCCACUGUGUCUCAGAUGUCCUCCUACUCUGGAGUGGCCUGUUCUUCCUGUCUCCGAGGGCGUGUCCCUAGCAUGGCAGCUUCUCUUGAAGCCAGAAGUCAACAGUUGAACCUGGCAUAGCAAGUUUGGCAUAAUUUGUGGUUUCACCUGUUACACCAAGGUGCUUGACGGCUUCACACGGCAUUCUGUAAUAUUUGUGAGUCACAGUAUGUUCAGGCCAUCCCUUAGUGUGACUUAUUAUAACCGCACAAGGACGUUCUGUCCAAUGUCAUGCUGAUGAUAGCUUUGAUUGCAUUAUCUCACCGGGUUCUAUUAAUACCCUGGCAAUCCCUGAAGAAACUGUAAGGGUGCUAAAAGCUUUAUCUGCAGGGAGACAAGUGUGCAUUUCUUCUGGUAUUAAAUUAAAUCCUCUGUUGCCAGAUGAAAACUUCCAGACCCAAAAUAUCAGAUGCACAAAUAAAAUAAAAUUAAUAUGUUAGUGAUAGUUGGUAUUUGUUGAGUUUGGCACCUAUGGAAACACUUUUUUUUUUACUGUGCCCCAUAGCCAGUGGAGUCAAACAUCAUGAAAUUUGAGAUAUAUUUUCAAGAACACAUGCUUUUUUUUUUUUUUGAAGGAUCAGUCAAAUCAGCGUUGGUAAGAGUAGAAAUGUCCCUAUUUAUAUGGUAAAAACAAUAUAACCAAAUCACAGAAACAAGCAUCCUGAUCUAUGCGGAACUGAUUUGGAGCAUUAAGACAUAAAAGUAAAACUUCAAGCCA
Molecule: long non-coding RNA, 1658 nt
Organism: Thalassophryne amazonica
Lineage: Eukaryota; Metazoa; Chordata; Actinopteri; Batrachoidiformes; Batrachoididae
Exons: 4
Source: RefSeq, a predicted model, not a curated record